GGGGGGGGGGGGGGGGGGGGGGGGCGCAGGCGGGUCGGGCGGGAGGGGGGGGGCGGAAGCCGGGGCGAACGGUUACUAAGGAGAGUGGCGAACGGGGGAGUAACGCGUGGGCAACCUGCCUAUGACAGUGGGAUAGCCCCGGGAAACCGGGCUUAAUACCGCAUAAAAUCGUAGAAGCACAUGUGUUAACGGUCAAAGAAUUAUCGGUCACAGAGGGGCUCGCGUCUGAUUAGCUAGUUGGUGAGAUAACAGCCCACCACGGCGACGAUCAGUAGCCGGUGUUGGAGGAGGAGCGGCCACAUUGGAACUGAGACACGGUCCAAAAUCCUGCGGGAGGCAGCAGUGGGGAAUAUUGCACAAUGGGGGAAACCCUGAUGCAGCGACGCCGCGUGAACGAAGAAGGUAGUCAUAUCGUAAAGUUCUGUUCUAUGGGAAGAUAGUGACAGUACCAUAGAAGAAAGCGCCGGCUAAAUACGUG
This 478-nucleotide ribosomal RNA is filed under the name uncultured bacterium. RNAcentral's name for it is "partial 16S ribosomal RNA". It matches the Rfam family "Bacterial small subunit ribosomal RNA", at positions 38 to 507 of the family's 1533-position model. The record is from RNAcentral.